Molecule: long non-coding RNA, 1821 nt
Organism: Chenopodium quinoa (quinoa)
Lineage: Eukaryota; Viridiplantae; Streptophyta; Magnoliopsida; Caryophyllales; Amaranthaceae
Exons: 7
Source: RefSeq, a predicted model, not a curated record
ACUUCGUUAGUGUUAUGAGGGUUACUCGGUUAGUGUUAUAGGGGUUACUUCGUCGGUGGUAUAAGGGUUACUCAGUAAAUGUUACAGGGAUUACUCGGUCAAUGUUAUAGGGGUUACACGGUCAACGUUACAGGGAUUACACAGUCAGUGUUUUAGAGGUUACUUUGUUUUUUUUUUUUUACAACCGGCUACAUGGUGUGGCUAGCCACACUCUAGACCUGCUAUUUUUUAUUUGACAAACCUUAUUAAUAUUUAUUGCUCUUUUUUGAACUCUUAUAUGAAAUUAAGAAUAGGGUGUAGACAUUUAUAACUUAAAAAUAUUUGUUUACAUAUUUUUCAUGAUACCAACAACUAAUAUCGAAAGAGCUCCAUAGACAUAGCUAAUAAAGUGGACUUCAUAACUAACAUUAAAGGACGAACGGAGUACGAAAUGUGGUAGUCGCUAGUCGGUAAUCAUAGACGGAGUACCAAAUCACGUAAUUAAGCGAUAAUCAAAUCGCCACUCUACGUAAGCAAUUGAAGUAUAAACGGGUCCCCUACUCCCCAUAUAAAAAGUUAGUCACACUAUGCCAGAUAUUUUUUCUCGCUCCUUCUUUCGCUUUCUCGAACCCAAGGAUUUAUGCAGAUGGAUUCUAUCAUUUUAAUUUGUCUCCGAGCUUGAACAAUCGAAUUCUUAAUUGUGAAUGAGAAGAAUUACGAGGAAUGCAAUUUGAAACACACGUUGCUGUUUAUUUGAUGGCUACAAGUGGUUGGUAGUUCGAUGGUUAACAGAUUAUUGAGAAUUAUCUAAGAAUCAAAGAUUGAGGUUGUUUAUUUCUGAGGGAUUGAAAUAAACGUUGAUGUUUGCUAUUUCUUGGAGCUGUUGUCUUAGAUAGGAGAUUUUGUCAACCAGUUCAUUCGAAAUGUGUCGUCUUUCACACAACUUUUAUCGUGGGGCUCUGCCUUUAUUGAUAUGAAGCCAGAAGGUGAACAAAAUCACAGUGAGAAGCACGGCAUCCAAUUUUCAGCAUCAUAUAUCAGGAUUAAGUAGUACUAUGUGUCAAACAAUUCACGGCGUCCAAUUUUCAGCAUAAGACGUGGAAAAUUAUCUGGAUAGUUGGGUCAUUAGACUGCUGUGGUAAUAUAACUAUAGAGUAAUAGGGAGAUGGUGAUGAAUGAAAUGAGGGCCCAUACAAUGAUGACAGGAGAGGGAUGCAGGUUGUUACUUUAUUGCAUCCAUUGCUGGCUGGGUAGCAGUGCAGAAUGGAAACACACUUUGUUGCAUUUUUGGUGCUGUUACUGCAAUAGUUUUAAAUUGUUUUUAGCUGAUAACCUGAAGUAGUUUGUAAAUAACCCUGUCUGAUUGUUAGAGGUGAGAUUGUGUAUAUCUUAAAUCCUGACCUUUCAAAAUUUCAUGUUUCAGUAGUUGCUACUGUAAUCUUCUGGUAGUUGUUAUUGUCUUAUGUUUUUGUUGCUUCUGCUUUUCUACUUUAUAGAGAAUUCUUAUUGCUUUCCAUUGAGAGUAGUAAUGGUUUUUAUUUGCAUUUUGUUAUGAUAAAUUAUUAUAUUAUAUGAUUUCUUAGUUAACCUAGCUUGAAACUUUUAUUUAUAGUCUUGAAAUAUAAUAUUGCACUCGGACUAGCGGCUUGCAAAUUUCUGAUACUUAAGUAAGUUUUAACCAUUCCUCAAUAAAUAAAUAAAUAAAUAAUUAAAUAAAUAAAAUAAAAUACUGUAAAAUACUGUAAAAUUAAGAGCAAAUAUUUGCCUGUGAAUAUGAAGAAGUGAUUUUCUGUUAACUUCCAAACAAAAAGAAGAUUUUCCUGUUUUCAUUUAUAUUUGUCU